RNAcentral lists this ribosomal RNA (882 nucleotides) under uncultured bacterium. RNAcentral's name for it is "bacterial SSU rRNA". It matches the Rfam family "Bacterial small subunit ribosomal RNA", at positions 28 to 923 of the family's 1533-position model. The record is from RNAcentral.
GUGCGACGCUGGCGGCGUGCUUACCAUGCAAGUCGAACGGAAAGGCCCUGCUUUUGUGGGGUGCUCGAGUGGCGAACGGGUGAGUAACACGUGAGUAACCUGCCCUUGACUUUGGGAUAACUUCAGGAAACUGGGGCUAAUACCGGAUAGGAGCUCCUGCUGCAUGGUGGGGGUUGGAAAGUUUCGGCGGUUGGGGAUGGACUCGCGGCUUAUCAGCUUGUUGGUGGGGUAGUGGCUUACCAAGGCUUUGACGGGUAGCCGGCCUGAGAGGGUGACCGGCCACAUUGGGACUGAGAUACGGCCCAGACUCCCACGGGAGGCAGCAGUGGGGAAUAUUGCACAAUGGGCGGAAGCCUGAUGCAGCAACGCCGCGUGCGGGAUGACGGCCUUCGGGUUGUAAACCGCUUUCGCCUGUGACGAAGCGUGAGUGACGGUAAUGGGUAAAGAAGCACCGGCUAACUACGUGCCAGCAGCCGCGGUGAUACGUAGGGUGCGAGCGUUGUCCGGAUUUAUUGGGCGUAAAGGGCUCGUAGGUGGUUGAUCGCGUCGGAAGUGUAAUCUUGGGGCUUAACCCUGAGCGUGCUUUCGAUACGGGUUGACUUGAGGAAGGUAGGGGAGAAUGGAAUUCCUGGUGGAGCGGUGGAAUGCGCAGAUACCAGGAGGAACACCAGUGGCGAAGGCGGUUCUCUGGGCCUUUCCUGACGCUGAGGAGCGAAAGCGUGGGAGCGAACAGGCUUAGAUACCCUGGUAGUCCACGCUGUAAACGGUGGGUACUAGGUGUGGGGUCCAUUCCACGGGUUCCGUGCCGUAGCUAACGCUUUAAGUACCCCGCCUGGGGAGUACGGCCGCAAGGCUAAAACUCAAUGAAUUGACGAAGGGCGA